UACAGGGGUCUCGAGCGUUAAUCGGAAUCACUGGGCUUAAAGGGAGCGUAGGCUGGCCAGCAAGUGCUUUGUGAAAGCCCCCGGCUCAACCGGGGAACUGCGGGGCAUACUGCUGGUCUUGAGGCAUGUAGGGGCGGGCAGAACAGUAGGUGGAGCGGUGAAAUGCGUAGAUAUCUGGAGGAACACCGGUGGCGAAGGCGGCAUCCUGGACCAACACUGACGCUGAGUGAGCGAAAGCCAGGGGAGCAAACGGG
This 254-nucleotide ribosomal RNA is filed under the name uncultured bacterium. RNAcentral describes it as "partial 16S ribosomal RNA". It matches the Rfam family "Bacterial small subunit ribosomal RNA", at positions 524 to 776 of the family's 1533-position model. The record is from RNAcentral.